CCACUACUCUCCGUAACAAAAUUCGGGCGGCUCUGAACAGCCCACUACCAGGUGGUUGCGGACGUCGUUGUCAAUUAGUUACGCACUCUAUCUAUAAAAAGGGAUCCCCAGAUACGUUCUUCUCUAAGCUCAAAAACUCUAUCUGAAAACUCUACUAAAAUUUUCACUCGAGCACUCCAUUUCUGUUGAAGCAGAGUACUGACUUGAGCAUCGGA
This 215-nucleotide long non-coding RNA is filed under the name Elaeis guineensis (African oil palm). RNAcentral's name for it is "long non-coding RNA (EGUI_LNC047209)". The record is from RNAcentral. Lineage: Eukaryota; Viridiplantae; Streptophyta; Magnoliopsida; Arecales; Arecaceae.